GCCGAGGUGGCGGAAUUGGUAGACGCGCUAGGUUUAGGUCCUGGUGCCCUUUGGGCGUGGAGGUUCGAGUCCUCUCCUCGGCACCA
This 86-nucleotide transfer RNA is filed under the name Wenzhouxiangella limi. Its description in RNAcentral is "tRNA-Leu". It matches the Rfam family "tRNA". From Rfam's summary of the family: Transfer RNA (tRNA) molecules are approximately 80 nucleotides in length. Their secondary structure includes four short double-helical elements and three loops (D, anti-codon, and T loops). Lineage: Bacteria; Pseudomonadati; Pseudomonadota; Gammaproteobacteria; Chromatiales; Wenzhouxiangellaceae. The record is from RNAcentral.